RNAcentral lists this ribosomal RNA (450 nucleotides) under uncultured bacterium. RNAcentral describes it as "bacterial SSU rRNA". It matches the Rfam family "Bacterial small subunit ribosomal RNA", at positions 354 to 796 of the family's 1533-position model. The record is from RNAcentral.
GUGGGGAAUAUUGGACAAUGGGCGAAAGCCUGAUCCAGCCAUGCCGCGUGUGUGAAGAAGGUCUUCGGAUUGUAAAGCACUUUAAGUUGGGAGGAAGGGCAGUAAGUUAAUACCUUGCUGUUUUGACGUUACCGACAGAAUAAGCACCGGCUAACUUCGUGCCAGCAGCCGCGGUAAUACGAAGGGUGCAAGCGUUAAUCGGAAUUACUGGGCGUAAAGCGCGCGGAGGUGGGUUUGUAAGUUGGAGGUGAAAUCCCCGGGCUCAACCUGGGAACUGCCUCAAAAACUGCAUGACUAGAGUACGGUAGAGGGUAGUGGAAUUUCCUGUGUAGCGGUGAAAUGCGUAGAUAUAGGAAGGAACACCAGUGGCGAAGGCGACUACCUGGACUGAUACUGACACUGAGGUGCGAAAGCGUGGGGAGCAAACAGGAUUAGAAACCCGAGUAGUCC